Molecule: long non-coding RNA, 307 nt
Filed under: Nicotiana benthamiana
Lineage: Eukaryota; Viridiplantae; Streptophyta; Magnoliopsida; Solanales; Solanaceae
Description: long non-coding RNA (NBEN_LNC039664)
Source: RNAcentral
CUCUAAGCCGCUUAUCUGCUCUUCAGAUCUUGAGUUUGAGGUCUAAUAGUCUUAGUGGACCUUUCCCUUCUGAGUUUGCAAACCUUGGAAAUUUGACUUCUCUGUAUCUUCAGUCCAAUAACUUUAAUGGUUCGUUGCCUGCGGAUUUUUCUGCUUGGAAAAGCCUUUCUAUUUUGGAUUUGUCUUUAAUGGUUCUUUGCCUGCUGAUUUUUCUGCUUGGAAAAGCCUUUCGGUUCUGGAUUUGUCAUAUAAUGAUUUUAGUGGGAGUAUACCUUCUUCAGUUUCAAACUUGACUCAUUUGACUGCU